GAUCUCUACCUAAAGCGUGGGAUUUUGAGGAUUUGAGAGGACUCACAAGUUGAUGCCUCCCGACACUAGAUCUCCAAGGGCUCUUUCAGACCCUCGGAGUGGAGUGACCUCCCCCGGGAGAAGGGAGGACAUCUGGGAGCCGCUUGAAAUCCCACCUUUGUUGCUCAAAAGAGUCCAACUCUCUGACCAGCCCAGAGUCUAUCUGGAUCAUGGCCAGUUGCUGCCCAUCUCUUCUCCAAGCUCCAGGUAUCACCUGGCUCUCCAAUUUCUCCAGUAGUGUCCAUGCCAGCAACUGCCGCCCCACCCAGGGUAUGGCCCUGAAGCCUUCUUUGUGGAGUAGAGACCACACAUCUGGGAACCUACAGAGAAUGACAAAACACCUAAAUUCUCUUGUGCUCCCUUCCCCUUCUCUGGAGUUGCUUUUACUUCAAAUGUUCCAAUGUUUAAAACAUUAAAUCGAGG
Phyllostomus hastatus (greater spear-nosed bat) is the source of this 462-nucleotide long non-coding RNA. RefSeq lists it as uncharacterized. The record is from RefSeq and is a predicted model, not a curated record. The transcript is spliced from 3 exons. NCBI's taxonomy places the organism in Eukaryota, Metazoa, Chordata, Mammalia, Chiroptera, Phyllostomidae.